RNAcentral lists this ribosomal RNA (346 nucleotides) under Tomentella sp. AFTOL-ID 1016. RNAcentral's name for it is "SSU rRNA". It matches the Rfam family "Eukaryotic small subunit ribosomal RNA", at positions 594 to 945 of the family's 1831-position model. The record is from RNAcentral. Lineage: Eukaryota; Fungi; Basidiomycota; Agaricomycetes; Thelephorales; Thelephoraceae.
AUAGCGUAUAUUAAAGUUGUUGCAGUUAAAAAGCUCGUAGUUGAACUUCAGACCUGGCUGGACGGUCUGCCUAACGGUAUGUACUGUCUGGCUGGGCCUUACCUCUUGGUGAGCCGGCAUGCCCUUCACUGGGUGUGUCGGGGAACCAGGACUUUUACCUUGAGAAAAUUAGAGUGUUCAAAGCAGGCUUAUGCUCGAAUACAUUAGCAUGGAAUAAUAAAAUAGGACGUGCGGUUCUAUUUUGUUGGUUUCUAGAGUCGCCGUAAUGAUUAAUAGGGACAGUUGGGGGCAUUAGUAUUGAGUUGCUAGAGGUGAAAUUCUUGGAUUUACUCAAGACUAACUACUG